UACGGAGGGGGCAAGCGUUAUUCGGAAUUAUUGGGCGUAAAGGGCGCGUAGGCGGCUAGAUGUGGCAAAGGGGAAAUCCCUCGGCUCAACUGAGGAACUGCCUUUGAAACUGUCUGGCUUGAGGCCGGGAGAGGGUAGCGGAAUUCCCAGUGUAGCGGUGAAAUGCGAAGAUAUCGGGAGGAACACCGGUGGCGAAGGCGGCGACCUGGGUAGAUACUGACGCUGAGGUACGAAAGCGUGGGGAGCAAACAGG
Molecule: ribosomal RNA, 253 nt
Filed under: uncultured bacterium
Lineage: Bacteria
Description: partial 16S ribosomal RNA
Rfam family: Bacterial small subunit ribosomal RNA
Source: RNAcentral